AUGUAUCACUGUGCGGGUGUCGUGGUAAAGCCCUCAGUGUCUCUGCUCCCUCCGUCCCCUCUGCAGCUGUCUGAGGGAUCGGCCUCGCUGCUCUGCCUGCUGUCUGGCUACUCUCCACAGGGGGCGCUGGUGAGCUGGACAGUGGACGGCUCAGAGGUGAAGAACGGGGUUCUGACCAGCACAGAAGAAGAGAAGAACAGCCGUUACAGCCGCAGCAGCACCCUGACCCUCAGCAAAGACCUCUGGGAAAAGGGGGAGGAGUUCAGCUGUAAGGUCUCCCAUAACAACGUCAAUCAUCCAGUCACGUUCAGAAAGAGUCAGUGUGAAGACUAG
This is a non-coding RNA of Clarias gariepinus (North African catfish), 333 nucleotides long. NCBI's taxonomy places the organism in Eukaryota, Metazoa, Chordata, Actinopteri, Siluriformes, Clariidae. The record is from the annotation of a RefSeq genome assembly.